Molecule: ribosomal RNA, 497 nt
Filed under: uncultured bacterium
Lineage: Bacteria
Description: partial 16S ribosomal RNA
Rfam family: Bacterial small subunit ribosomal RNA
Source: RNAcentral
GAUGAACGCUGGCGGCGUGCCUAAUACAUGCAAGUCGAGCGAACAGACGAGGAGCUUGCUCCUCUGACGUUAGCGGCGGACGGGUGAGUAACACGUGGAUAACCUACCUAUAAGACUGGGAUAACUUCGGGAAACCGGAGCUAAUACCGGAUAAUAUAUUGAACCGCAUGGUUCAAUAGUGAAAGACGGUUUUGCUGUCACUUAUAGCUGGAUCCGCGCCGCAUUAGCUAGUUGGUAAGGUAACGGCUUACCAAGGCAACGAUGCGUAGCCGACCUGAGAGGGUGAUCGGCCACACUGGAACUGAGACACGGUCCAGACUCCUACGGGAGGCAGCAGUGGGGAAUCUUCCGCAAUGGGCGAAAGCCUGACGGAGCAACGCCGCGUGAGUGAUGAAGGUCUUCGGAUCGUAAAACUCUGUUAUUAGGGAAGAACAAAUGUGUAAGUAACUAUGCACGUCUUGACGGUACCUAAUCAGAAAGCCACGGCUAACUACGUG